RNAcentral lists this ribosomal RNA (501 nucleotides) under uncultured Sphingobacteriales bacterium. RNAcentral's name for it is "bacterial SSU rRNA". It matches the Rfam family "Bacterial small subunit ribosomal RNA", at positions 904 to 1382 of the family's 1533-position model. The record is from RNAcentral. Lineage: Bacteria; Pseudomonadati; Bacteroidota; Sphingobacteriia; Sphingobacteriales.
UUGCCAGCCCGCUCAGAAACUUCAAGGAAUUGACGGGGGCCCGCACAAGCGGAGGAGCAUGUGGUUUAAUUCGAUGAUACGCGAGGAACCUUACCUGGGCUCGAACGUAAGAUGACUGUAGGUGAAAGCUUACAUCUCUUCGGAGCAUUUUACGAGGUGCUGCAUGGUUGUCGUCAGCUCGUGCCGUGAGGUGUCGGGUUAAGUCCCAUAACGAGCGCAACCCCUACCUUUAGUUGCCAUCAGGUAAUGCUGGGGACUCUAAAGGAACUGCCUACGCAAGUAGUGAGGAAGGCGGGGAUGACGUCAAAUCAGCACGGCCCUUACGUCCAGGGCUACACACGUGCUACAAUGGCCGGUACAAAGGGUUGCGAAGCCGUGAGGUGGAGCGAAUCUCAAAAAGCCGGCCUCAGUUCGGAUUGGAGGCUGCAACUCGCCUCCAUGAAGUCGGAAUCGCUAGUAAUCGCGCAUCAGCAUGGCGCGGUGAAUACGUUCCCGGGCCUU